RNAcentral lists this long non-coding RNA (6213 nucleotides) under Monodelphis domestica (gray short-tailed opossum). RNAcentral describes it as "lncRNA (ENSMODG00000029446.2)". The record is from RNAcentral. Lineage: Eukaryota; Metazoa; Chordata; Mammalia; Didelphimorphia; Didelphidae.
UUUCAGAUUUCAAUUUCUGCUAAGUCUGCUAAAUCCUGAGCAUAUGGAAGAAACUAGACAGAAAUCAACAUCUUAUACCAUAUACCGAGAUAAACUCAAAAUAGGAAAUCCUUCAGUGGACAAAUGGGGAGAAGACACAGGUUAUUUCCAAAAGCAUCUUUAGUUCAGGUCCCUCCAAAAGACCUCUGUCACCACAGCAAGUCAGUGCUAUUGCCAUGCCCACCUCAUCGAAUAGCACCAUUGUGGGAAAGAGAGUUCCUUCCCAGAAAUGAAAGCAGAACCAGUCUUAAAGAGCAGCCCAGCUCCACCCAAUUGCCACUUUAUCCUUAUGCCAGGGCUGUUCCUACUUUGCCUUGUCUUAAUCAUCUGACCAAAAAUUCUAAGUCAUUGCCAUAUUUGAAAUACCAGGGGAUAACUAAUGCAUCUUCAUCCCAACACCAUAUUAACUCCUCUGUCUUCUCUUUGACUAACCCUGAAUUCAGAGGAAGGGCAAAUGCAUCUCUGAGAACAACUUCUAAACUUGUUAAGCCUCCAUUUAGCUCAAAACACAAAGUAGAGACUCCUCUAGUUUUUGAGCGCUUUCCCAAGAUCUCAACAAGCUGGAACAGUCAAAAGAAGGAGCCAACACACCCCAAACAACAGCCAUCACCUCUCCCACUCUGCGAGAACAGGUCUGAAGAACUCCCACAACUCAAACAGAAGCCAUCCUAUCUCCAGCUCCCUGACCACAAGGAUGAGGAACUCCCACAACACAGACAGAAGCCCCCAACGCCGCCAAUAUCCAACCACCAGGAUGAGGCAAUACCAUUGAUUACCUGUAAGAGCAAGACUAUGGGUGACCCUUCCACAUGCCCUGACUCUCAGGUCAAUGACAGACCUGUCCCAGCAAGUUUGAGUCACUCAGCUGAAACACCUCAGAACCUUAAGAACAAUAUCAGAGUUUUAACUGUUAUGGUGAGCAGAGAAGGAACCAACCUCUGGCCCAAAUGUCUAAUUCUACAAUCACCCCAUUCUGACCACCACCAUUCUUUAGAAGAAGCACCAGACAUUGAUUAUAUGAACCAAGUUACAAAGCAUGCCCUCGAGGAAACAGCUCUGCCUUUUCUAAAAGGCAACCAGCAAUCUGGACCCUGCACUUUACCUUCAUCCUUGCCCAAAUAUGUCAACAGGGGCACAAGCACAGAUUUCCCCUGGCCUCCGUUCAAUGUGAUGGUUGCAAAUAUUACAUCAUCAGAUCCCAACCACCAGGCCAGGGUAAUUAUGAGACAAUUAAGAGGUUUCACACCAAGUACCAAAUCAGUCUCUGAUUCUUACCUAUCUCUGGGUGCAUGGAGAACCUCUGGGUCCUUCCCAUUUGCUGAACAUAUAGCUGAGGCUUCACCAGGCUCUGAUUACAAGGCCGAAGACACUACUGGGCUACCAUUACAUUCUAAGCACAAAGUUACGAUUCCUCCUCUAGGAGUUGAUCAUUUUAGCAAGGUUGCACCAGAUCUAAGUCCUCAGACUGCAAUUCCCAUGGGCUCUGAACAUAGAACUUCCACCUCAGUGGUCUUGAGUGAUGGGCCUGAAGCAGCACCUGGUUCCAAGACACAGGACGUAAAAACGCUGUCUCCUCCCAUCAGCCAGACUGAAUACCUACUUUAUCCUGGACUUUUGGAUAAGGAUUCACUGGCACUAGAGUCUAAGUUCAGAGGCCCCAUUGACCUUGGCCAGAAAGUUGAGACUUCGAUAUGCUCCGAUAACCAGGUCUCCUCUUCACUCUACCCUAACCAACAGGCACAGGUUAUACAGAGCCCAGACUGCCAAAAUGUAGUAACUCUAAGCCCUGAUGACUAUGUACAAUAUCUAAAUAUUUUUGAUCUUCAAAAGAAAGAAACACUUGUCCCAAUACUCCAGAAUGAUCUUGAAUUGGGUGGUCCUAGUCACUACCAAACUCAAAUUGUACCAGACUCUUAUGAGAUGAUACUUCUACUGAGUGAUAAAACCAAGGCCAUACCUCCACUCAGUCAUGACCACACAACUGAGCCUGAAUCACAGUCUAAGAAGGCCACUCAACCACAUGACACAAAAAAUCAAGCAGUGCCUCAGUUAUGCCCAGAUUAUGAGAUGGUUCCCCCUCAAACCACUGAAGAUCACCCAAGGGAGGCUAGGCCUAAUACAAGUGAACAAGUCUCACAUCAAACAGAAGUAGACUUCUGGAAAAUAACGCCACAGGAACCAGACCACCAGGUCAUAACUCCACCAUCACAAGAUAAUAGAGAGACAACUUCACCAGGCAUAGACCAAGAGGUCAUAACUCCACCAGGGAAAGAUGACAGCAAGGCACCUUCACUGAACAUAGACAGCUUGGUCAUAACUCCACCAGGGAAAGAUGACAGUGAGGUACCUUCAUGGAAUAUAGACAGCCUGGUCAUAACUCCACCAAUGCAAGAUGACAGUGAGGCACCUUCACUGAACAUAGACAACCUAGUCAUAACUCCACCAGGGAAAGAUGACAGUGAGGCACCUUCACUGAACAUAGACAACCUGGUCAUAACUCCACCAAUGCAAGAUGACAGUGAGGCACCUUUCCUAAACAUAGACAACCUGGUCAUAACCCCACCAAUGCAAGAUGACAGUGAGGCACCUUCACUGAACAUAGACAACCUGUUCAUAACUCCACCAGCAAAAGAUGAUAGUGAGGCACUUUCGCUGAACAUAGACAGCCUGGUCAUAACGACACCAAGGCAAGAUGACAGCGAGACACCUUCACUGAACAUAGACAACCUGGUCAUAACUCCACUGAAGCAGGAUGACAGUGAAACGCCAUGGCAGGAUGAAGCUAAAACACCUUCAUUGGUCAUGGAUGGCCAAAUCAUAACUCCACCAUGGGAGGAUGAUGGGGGGAAAUAUUCACCAGGCAUAGACUGCCAGGUCAAAACUCCACCAUGGCAGGAAGACACUGAGAUACCUUUACAAGGUAUAACCUCACCAUGUCAGGAUGAUAGUGAGACGCUUUCACUGGGCAUAGACCACCAAGUCAUAACUCCACCAUGGCAGGAUGACACUGAGACACCUUCAUUGGGCAAAGAAUGCCAAGUUAUAACUCCACCAUGUCAGGAUGAUGAUGCAGCUCCUUCACUUGGCACAGACCACCAGGUCAUAACUACAUUAUGGCAGGAUAAUAGUAAGAUGUCUUCACUGGGCAUAGACCAUCUCAUAAUAAAUCCGCCAUGGCAGGAUGAAGGUGAGAUACCUUCUCUGGGCAUAGAUCACCAGGUCAUAACUCCACCACGGCAGGAUGACAGUGAAACACCUUCACUGGACAUAGAGCACCAGAUCAUAACACCACCAAAACAGGAUGAAGGUGAGAUACCCUUUCUAGACAUAAAUCACCAGAUCCUAACUCUACCAUGGGAGGAAACAUCUUCACUGGGCAUAGACCACCAGGUCAUAAUUCUACCCUGGCAGGAUGAAGGUGAGACACCUUCACUGGGCAUAGAUGACCAGAUCAUAAUUCAACCAUGGCAGGAUGACAGAGAGUCACUUUCACUAGUCAUGGACCAACAGGUCAUAAGACCACCAUGGCAGGAUAACAGUGAGACACAUUCCUUGGGCACAGACCACCAGACCAUAAAUACACCAUGGCAAGAUGACGUUGAAAGACCUUCACUGAGCUUAGACCACCAAGUCAUAACUCUACCAUGGCAGGAUGACAGUGAGACACCAUCACUGGGCUUAGACUGCCAGGUCAUAACUUUACCAUGGCAGGAUGACAAUGAGACACCUUCACUGAGCUUAGACCACCAGGUCAUAACUCUACCAUGGCAGGAUGACAGUGAGACACCUUCACUGGGCUUAGAUUGCCAGGUCAUAACUCUACCAUGGCAGGAAGGCAAUGAGACACCUUCACUGGACUUAGACCACCAGUUCAUAACUCCACUGUGUCAAGAUGAUGGUGCAGUUCCUUCAGAGGGCAUGGAAUACCAGGUCAUAACUCCACCUGACUCUUACCACCUCACUGAAGCUAUACCAAGUACAUACCUCAAUUUAGAGGCAAUAGUAGAGCCCAGUGAGCAAGCCUUGCCUCAAAAUUACUUAUACCAUGGGGCAAAAAAGUCAAUGAGACCAGAGUACCAAAGUACAGCUUCACUUGGUCAGAGCAAUCAGGUUGAAAUUGGAUCAGAUGCCAACAACAACCAGAGCACAUUUCCAACAGAUCAGGAUGAUCAAGUUAGAGUUUCAAUCAUGCCUGAAGAAAAGACCAUUCCUUUAUCCCCUCCUAACUCUGACUACAAAAAUAAAACUCCACUUGGGCUCCAAAAUCAGACUAUACAGAAAAGAGAAAUCCCAUGGCAUUUGAAGCACAUCAAACCAUACACCGUUGAGGGCAGUGACAAUAUCUCUGCAAGAACAGUACAAGCCAUUGUUAAUUCCAUCCCUGAGGAGAAAAUUAAAAAUGAUAUAUGUAAGCAGAUUCUCUUUCGGCGGAUGAAGGAAAAUACCCAACAGAGGCCUGGUAAAUGCAUGUCAACCAGCUAUGCAGUCUGCUUACAAUGUGUCUCCUGGGUCCCAAAUGGCUGUCACCAUGACAAGGAAAUGAACCAUCUUUUUGAAGCAGAAAUGUUAGUCAUGCCAAUACCUCUGCCAGGUUCUAAAGAGGAUAUGGGCUUGAAAUUUGUCCUGAGAGUGCCCCAUAUACCCAUUUCUUUAUUCAAUCAGUUUUUCCAAGAGCCCCAAAAUCAAUGUCAAUUACAUAGUCAAUUAUCAAACUUUCCAUCACCCUCACAAACAGCCCUCAAUGAGUCCCAUGUGCCUGCAAAGGCUGAGUUGCUUGAUUAUUCAAAAAAUGAUUACACUUUGGAAAUUAAAACAUCUAACAAUCAAGAGCAACUCACAAAAGAGAUGCCCAUAAGGAGAGAAAGUAAAGAAAAUGAAAAGUCAAGGGAACAUGUAAAGAAUUUCAAAUCUCUGCUUGAGAAAUUUCAAAAGCAAAGACAAAAUUAAAUUAACAUCUUUUUCUUUGAAAAUGAUUGUGUGCCUUUGAAAUUUAAGUCUGAUUUUGUGUCAUAUGUUAUGUAGUUAAAGAGGGACACAUUGAUUCUGUCUGCUCAUGACAUAAUCCAGCAUAGUCCCCUUCAUAAGCAUUCAGAGGGAAGGGACUCUAUGUUCUCUCUCCCUCUCAUACAAUAUUUUAACUUCAAGUUAAAUUAUAUUCAGAGUGAAGGGAGCUCCACAGGACAGAAAAGCCAUGUUUUUCUGCCUUUUCUUCCCCUCUCACAAUAAGGCUCAGUAAAGGACACCCAGAGUAUGUAUUCACCUUUUUUAUCCUUUUUAUCCUUUCUUACCCUAUAUCACUCAUAAAACUCAGCAUUCUGUAUUUCAAUAUUUCAAAGAUUCACAAGAUCCAUGAUAUCAAUAUCAACAUUUCCUCAAACAAUACAUUACAAAUUCAGCCAAUUUUAAUGGUAGCUGGUUCUUAUCACCUUCCAUUUGGGUUUAUUAAAAAGCUGUCUUUUGGCUUAGAACUUUUUGAUAAGCUCUCCAGAGAGAGGAGCUCUUUCUGACAUACUCCAAAUCUCUGGGUGACCAUUUAAAAUCUUUCCAGCUUAGUGUAGGUCCUACCAGAUCAGACAGUCUCUGAGCCCCAUGCUCAUGUCUCCAUAUAAUGAGACAAAAGAGUGGGACUUGGUGGAAGCAUGUUUCAGUGGGAUAUAGAAAAUAGAGAGGAAUAUGAAACUCUGUUGUGGAGGUCAUUCUUGUUGAACCAUCUUCCUAAAUGGUCUCUCUUAGUCCUUAAUAGCACUAUUCUUUAUAUAUGCUAAAAACUCACUUACAUUAUGGAGUGUUACUUCCUGUCUCUGAAGCCUGGAUUCACAACUUCCUUGCAGUUUUCUGCAUUCCUCUGUCUCUGGCAGAACUUGACAAACUAAAAUGAAUUCUUCCUUUUAAAACUUGAAAAACACCAUAGUUUCAAUUUUUACAUAUGUAUGUUUCUUAACCCAACAUCAUUGACAAAGUAAAGGUAGAAUAUGUUAAUACAGGAUGUUUCACAGGUCUCUGGCUAAACUCAAAAUCACCUCAUCAAAUGCAAACUCGGGCUAGAAGAGCAGCAAACGCAAAGAUGGCAGAAGUUAAAAGUUUCCAUCAUCUAAAUCUUGGCUCGCCAAAGCUGGUGAAAUUAAUGUUAUAGACUUGUCCAUCCCAGAAUAAAUUCGGUUAAAUCAAAGCCCA